Molecule: ribosomal RNA, 248 nt
Filed under: uncultured bacterium
Lineage: Bacteria
Description: partial 16S ribosomal RNA
Rfam family: Bacterial small subunit ribosomal RNA
Source: RNAcentral
AGGGUGCAGGCGUUAAUCGGAAUUACUGGGCGUAAAGCGUGCGCAGGCGGUUUGCUAAGACAGGUGUGAAAUCCCCGGGCUUAACCUGGGAACUGCGCUUGUUACUGGCAGGCUUGAGUGUGGCAGAGGGGGGUGGAAUUCCACGUGUAGCAGUGAAAUGCGUAGAGAUGUGGAGGAACACCGAUGGCGAAGGCAGCCCCCUGGGCUAACACUGACGCUCAUGCACGAAAGCGUGGGGAGCAAACAGG